Molecule: ribosomal RNA, 375 nt
Filed under: uncultured eukaryote
Lineage: Eukaryota
Description: partial 18S ribosomal RNA
Rfam family: Eukaryotic small subunit ribosomal RNA
Source: RNAcentral
CAAUAGCGUAUAUUUAAGUUGUUGCAGUUAAAAAGCUCGUAGUUGGAUUUCGGUUAAGAGCGACCGGUCCGCCGUUUGGUGUGCACUGGUUGGUUUUAACUUCCUGUAGAGGACGUGCUCUGGGUUUAACGACCUGGACACGGAGUCUACGUGGUUACUUUGAAAAAAUUAGAGUGUUCAAAGCGGGCUUACGCUUGAAUAUUUCAGCAUGGAAUAACACUAUAGGACUCCUGUCCUAUUUCGUUGGUCUCGGGACGGGAGUAAUGAUUAAGAGGAACAGUUGGGGGCAUUCGUAUUUCAUUGUCAGAGGUGAAAUUCUUGGAUUUAUGAAAGACGAACUUCUGCGAAAGCAUUUGCCAAGGAUGUUUNCAUUAA